Molecule: ribosomal RNA, 203 nt
Filed under: uncultured bacterium
Lineage: Bacteria
Description: partial 16S ribosomal RNA
Rfam family: Bacterial small subunit ribosomal RNA
Source: RNAcentral
UGUGUAGGCGGUUCUUUAAGUUUGGUGUGAAAUCUCCCGGCUCAACUGGGAGGGUGCGCCGAAUACUGAGGGACUAGAGUACGGGAGAGGAAAGUGGAAUUCCUGGUGUAGCGGUGAAAUGCGUAGAUAUCAGGAGGAACACCGGUGGUGUAGACGGCUUUCUGGACCGUAACUGACGCUGAGACACGAAAGCGUGGGUGAAC